Molecule: long non-coding RNA, 823 nt
Filed under: Homo sapiens (human)
Lineage: Eukaryota; Metazoa; Chordata; Mammalia; Primates; Hominidae
Description: HSALNT0257830
Source: RNAcentral
UGGAUGGUAUAAAACAGUGCCACAUGGAGUCUUAGGUCCAGCAUCACAUGUAUUGAGCCAAUAUUCACUAAACGACCAAGAUCCUCCCCUUCAUGGAGCACAGAUCCAGAGUGGAGGAGAGUCAGACCAUGAGUGAGGAAAACAAGCUCAUGAACAAAAUGAGAUAAGUGUCACUGGGACAACAGAACAAAGCAGCGAGUGCAGAGCCUGGAUGUGAGGAGGGUACCCAGCAUGGCACCUGGCACCCAACAAGUGCAGACCAAUGUAGAAGAGCAAGGCAAUGUCAAUUUCAGGAGUGCAGGGCUCUCCUCCUCCCUAGGAACUAUUCAACCUCUGCCUUGAUACUGAAGAGCACAAAGCAGGAGAAAACUCUAUGUCUUUCCCAAAGGCAAUCUGUCUGUCUCUCUUUCCGGGAAGGUGUGUGCCUGCCAAUCACUCUAUAGGAAAGGAUGUACCUUUGAAGAGGAACUUUCUGGACCCUCUUAAUUCUGCCAUCAGUGCAGCUCUUCCAGGACCUCAGCUAUAUGAAAACACUGUCAUACUGAUAUGGAACUUGAAAACAAAAACCCACCAACCACAGAAGCACCAGCAACCUCUGUGGGAGCUAGAGUCUCAUCAAUCAGAACAUGUGUCCUAGGAGCCUGCACUUGCAGAAGGACAGAUAAAGAACAGAAGCGUACCUGGGAGAGCUGGCUGAAACCAGGACACGGUGGGACCAUUGGAAAGGACUCUAAACCACAGCAGCAGAAGGAGAGCUAGACUUGCAGGGACCCAGGCUCCACACUAGGGACCUCGACCUUGUCCUGCAGGGAGUGGAGACCCA